This 1155-nucleotide long non-coding RNA is filed under the name Carassius auratus (goldfish). RNAcentral describes it as "lncRNA (ENSCARG00000031977.1)". Lineage: Eukaryota; Metazoa; Chordata; Actinopteri; Cypriniformes; Cyprinidae. The record is from RNAcentral.
AUGGAAAUUGGUGAUGAAGAAAGAAACCACCAGAAUAUUGAAGAAGAUGUUGAGGAUAAGGAAGUACAUGAAGAGGCUGUAGCUUCUGUUGAGGACCAGUCUGAUCUUCGAGAUCCCUGUAGUCAGAGAGAUUUGCAGUGUUCACUAGUAGAUUGGGCAAUUGAAUUUGGAAUUUCAUUAAUUGCUUUGUCAGCACUUCUUACCAUUCUCAAAGUCCAUCAUUCCUCUCUGCCUAAGGAUGGAAGAACGUUGCUGAAAACAAAAACAAGAUACAACAUUAGCAGUAUAGCUGGUGGUGUGUUCCAUUAUUGUGGAAUUCUGAAUUCUAUUAGGAAAAUCCAUGAUAACGUUUGGCAUAGUGUGGCAGACAAACAUGUGUUCAAACUACAGUUGAAUUUUGAUGGACUACCACUCUUCAAGAGUACUAGUACACAGUUUUGGCCAAUUCUUGGUUUGCUGCAAGGUCACACUAAGGCACCAGUGUUGAUUGGACUCUUUUGUGGUACUUCAAAGCCAAAUUCUUUGGCUGAUUAUCUUCAUGAUCUGGUUCACGAGCUAAAAAUGUUGAGGGAUGGGUUUCUGUUCAAGCAGAAAACAUUCAUUUUGAAUGUUGUUUCUGUUAUGUGUGAUACCCCUGCCCGAGCCUUCAUCAGAGGUGUGAAGUCACACACUGCAUAUCAUGGAUGUGACAAGUUUCAUCAAACAGGUGUCUGGAAAUCAAAUCGAAUGACAUUUCCUGAGGUGAAAGCAAAGCGCAGAACUGAUGAGAGUUUUAGGCAAGCAACUGAUGAAGAACACCACAUUCAGCACUCACCUCUUACAGACAUUGGCAUUGACAUGGUCACUUGUUUCCCUCACGAUUACAUGCACUUGAUUUGUCUGGGUGUAAUGCGGCGUCUUUUAGACUUGUGGAUCAGCACCAUCGGCCCCUUGCACUGUCGCAUAUCAUCCAUUCAAGCUUCCAUGGUGUCAGAUAGACUUCUUGCACUGAGAAGUUACAUUCCAAGUGAGUUUGCUCGAAGGCCUCAGGCACUGGCAGAUCGAUGUAGGUGGAAAGCAACAGAGCUACGCCAAUUUUUGUUAUACACUGGUCCAGUUGUGCUGAAUGGUGUUUUACAGCCUCAAAUCUAUGACAACUUUAUGUUUUGGCUGUAG